Molecule: transfer RNA, 71 nt
Filed under: Nannacara anomala (goldeneye cichlid)
Lineage: Eukaryota; Metazoa; Chordata; Actinopteri; Cichliformes; Cichlidae
Description: tRNA-Leu
Source: RNAcentral
AGUCCCAAAAUGACAGCUCACCCAUUGGUCUUAAAGACCAAAAACUCUUGGUGCAAAUCCAAGUAGUAACC